AAAGAAGCUUAGGUUCACCUUAAACCGAAG
RNAcentral lists this transfer RNA (30 nucleotides) under Aegithalos caudatus (Northern long-tailed tit). RNAcentral describes it as "partial tRNA-Trp". The record is from RNAcentral. Lineage: Eukaryota; Metazoa; Chordata; Aves; Passeriformes; Aegithalidae.